GAGCCGGACGGGCCGUCGCUGCGCGUAUCCACGCGGGGAGGAAAGUCCGGGCUUCACAGGGCGGAAUGCCGGAUAACAUCCGGGAAGAGUGAUCUUCGGCAAGCGCAACAGAGAGCAGACCGCCGUCUUCAUGACGGUAAGGGUGAAAGGGUGGUGCAAGAGACCACCGGCUGCCGUGGCGACACGGCAGGCCAGGCAAGCCCCAUUCGAAGCAAGACCAAAUAGGGAAACCGAUCGGCCCGAUCUGUGGUUUCCGGGUAGGUUGCUUGAGGGCGCGGGCAACCGCGUUCCUAGAGGAAUGACGGCCGCUCCGCUUCAAAGCGGGGAACAGAACCCGGCUUACAGUCCGACUC
RNAcentral lists this RNase P RNA (353 nucleotides) under uncultured Mailhella sp. RNAcentral describes it as "Bacterial RNase P class A". It matches the Rfam family "Bacterial RNase P class A". Rfam says of the family: Ribonuclease P (RNase P) is a ubiquitous endoribonuclease, found in archaea, bacteria and eukarya as well as chloroplasts and mitochondria. Its best characterised activity is the generation of mature 5'-ends of tRNAs by cleaving the 5'-leader elements of precursor-tRNAs. The record is from RNAcentral. Lineage: Bacteria; Pseudomonadati; Thermodesulfobacteriota; Desulfovibrionia; Desulfovibrionales; Desulfovibrionaceae.